This 808-nucleotide ribosomal RNA is filed under the name Asteristion platycarpum. RNAcentral describes it as "SSU rRNA". It matches the Rfam family "Bacterial small subunit ribosomal RNA", at positions 362 to 1221 of the family's 1533-position model. Lineage: Eukaryota; Fungi; Ascomycota; Lecanoromycetes; Ostropales; Graphidaceae. The record is from RNAcentral.
UAUUGGUCAAUGGCCUAACGGCUGAACCAGCAACUUGGAGGAAUGUACAGGGAAAACAGGUAAAAAUGUGAUGUACCUACUAAUAUUAGUGAUUAAUAUUAGAUUAAUUAAGUUAAUUAAAAUUCAAAGUAGAUUUUGAUUAUGACAGAAUUUGCUUAUGUCUUGACCAAGUCACGUGCCAGCAGUCGCGGUAAUACGUGGAAGAUAAGCGUUAUUCAUGUUUAAAAGGUUUAAAGGGUACCUAGACGGUUAAUUUAACAUUAAAAGUGAAUUAAUUAACUAGAGUUUAAUGUAAGAAAGAUUGAGUACGGUUAGUGUAGUGAUUUAAUACUAUGAUACAACUUUGGAACUGGUAAAGGCGAAGGCCAUUUCUAUGUAAAAACUGACGUUAAGGGACGAAGGCUCGUAUCUAAAAAACAGGAUUAGAUACCCUGGUAUUCCGAGCAGAAAAUGAUGAGUGUCAUACAUAAGAAAUUUUUUGUGUAUAAAUGAAAGUGUAAGCACUCCACCUCAAGAGUAACGUGGCAACAUCGGAACUGAAAUCAUUAGACCGUCUCUGAAACCCGUAGUGAAGUAUGUUGUUUAAUUUGUUAGCCCUCAAAAAACCUUACCACAAUUUGUAUUACUAUUAUAUGUAGUAACAAGCGUUGCACGGCUGUCUUCAGUCAAUGUUGUGAGAUUAUGGUUAGAUCCAUUAAAUUGACGUAAACCCUUACUUUAUUUGAUAUAAAGUAGUUCGCCGAUAUAUUGGUAAUGAUAUAAGGGACCAAGACAAGUCAUCAUGACCUGAAUAUUGUGGGCUAUAGAC